This is a long non-coding RNA of Dicentrarchus labrax (European seabass), 1172 nucleotides long. RefSeq lists it as uncharacterized. The transcript has 2 exons. Lineage: Eukaryota; Metazoa; Chordata; Actinopteri; Moronidae. The record is from RefSeq and is a predicted model, not a curated record.
GACGUACACGUCAUAGUCACGGACUAUGCGUGUGAUGAUGUCAGAGGUGGAGAUGCCCUCUGUCCGCUGGGUGGGAGCGAACAUACCUGUGGAGGGCACAGGGGGUCACGAGCAUGAAAAAAGAUUUUACAUGAAGUGAAGCAGAGGUAUUUCAUUGUCUCUCUUUUCUCUUCUUGUUUCGUUUAAAUUUGUGUUGCUUAACUUCCAACUGCUGUUUAUGCAUGUCGUGUGUGUUGCAUAUAUGGUAAAUGCAUGUGAGUCUGCACGCAUUGAUUUAUGUUCUGAAUACUCCCCUGCACAAGGUUUGAGCAAAAUACAUGUGGACACAACACAUAUUUAGGAUGAUAAAUCAUUGGUAUGACCAUAUACAGCACUAUCUUCCACUGACACAUGCUCCAUAUAUUUAUAAGUUACACUAUAAAAAACAGGUCUGGCACUCACCAGCUUCCUUGAUGUGCUUGUAUACGUCAUCACUGCCCGCUGAGGAGUAUGGGAUGUCGUCAUGGGCCACAAAGUCAAUCUGGAGAGGUCAUUACAACAUACAUCAACACAGUAGAUUCAGAACUACAAAUUGUACAGAAACAAAAACACACAAAAAAACCAGCAGGGAAACGGUUACAGAGGAUCAGCCAACUCAUUCUUAAUAUCUGAUCAUUUUACUUAAUAAGUUCUUGGUCAACAUUUCGACAUUUACAGUUUAUGUCUUUUAACUCUGGUGUUUCUCUGUUUCAUCCACUCACACGAUGUCUUAUGAGGAACUCCGGCGAUAAUGUCCAGGGAGCGUUUCGCACCACUUCGUCCACAUAGCGGCAAUGUCUAAUGGCAUCGUAGCGCUCAUCCUCAUUCAUCACUGUGAAGCCCUUGUAUUUGUGGGUCAGGUCAUCACUGCACACUUUAAACAGUUAAAAAAAUACAGAAAUUAAAGUUUUAAAUGCCUUAACCAUGAUUUCAAUUCUAAACAAAAGAGAAAAAAGAGGCUGGUUAACACGGGACUGUAAUUAACUGAUGGAGGGAGGGAAAGCAGAGGACAAACAAACUGCACUGUUUGUCCUUCCCAUGUACAAAACAGACCUAAGAAUAUCCCGCAAUAACUCAGUGUCCCACAAUUAACUUUAUAAAGUUAUCCAACUUGUCCCAGAUGUCUGAAUUUAUUAAACUUGUACUGAACUAUC